Molecule: ribosomal RNA, 253 nt
Filed under: uncultured bacterium
Lineage: Bacteria
Description: partial 16S ribosomal RNA
Rfam family: Bacterial small subunit ribosomal RNA
Source: RNAcentral
UACAGAGGGGGCAAGCGUUAUUCGGAAUUAUUGGGCGUAAAGCGCGCGUAGGCGGCCACUUAAGUCGGAUGUGAAAGCCCUUGGCUCAACUGAGGAAGUGCACCCGAAACUGAAUGGCUUGAGUACUAAAGAGGGUCGCGGAAUUCCCGGUGUAGAGGUGAAAUUCGUAGAUAUCGGGAGGAACACCGGUGGCGAAGGCGGUUCUCUGGGAAUGUACUGACGCUGAGGAGCGAAAGUGUGGGGGGCGAACAGG